CGGCUUGGCCCCUGGUCGGGAAACAGUUGGAACGACUGCUAAUCCCGGAUGAGCCAUAUGGUAAAAGAUUUAUCGCCUAGAGAAGAGCUCGCGUCCGAUUAGUUAGUUGGUGGGGUAAUGGCUUACCAAGACAGCGAUCGGUAACUGGUCUGAGAGGAUGACCAGUCACACUGGGACUGAGACACGGCCCAGACUCCUACGGGAGGCAGCAGUGGGGAAUUUUCCGCAAUGGGCGAAAGCCUGACGGAGCAAUACCGCGUGCGGGAGGAAGGCCCUUGGGUCGUAAACCGCUUUUCUCAUGGAAGAAGUUUUUAUUGUUUCUGAGGAAA
Molecule: ribosomal RNA, 329 nt
Filed under: Spirulina subsalsa NTDM21
Lineage: Bacteria; Bacillati; Cyanobacteriota; Cyanophyceae; Spirulinales; Spirulinaceae
Description: bacterial SSU rRNA
Rfam family: Bacterial small subunit ribosomal RNA
Source: RNAcentral